AACGCGAAGAACCUUACCUGGCCUUGACAUGUCCGGAAUUCUGCAGAGAUGCGGAAGUGCCUUCGGGAAUCGGAACACAGGUGCUGCAUGGCUGUCGUCAGCUCGUGUCGUGAGAUGUUGGGUUAAGUCCCGUAACGAGCGCAACCCUUGUCCUUAGUUACCAGCACGUUAUGGUGGGCACUCUAAGGAGACUGCCGGUGACAAACCGGAGGAAGGUGGGGAUGACUUCAAGUCAUCAUGGCCCUUACGGCAGGGCUACACACGUGCUACAAUGGUCGGUACAGAGGGUUGCCAAGCCGCGAGGUGGAGCUAAUCCCAGAAAACCGAUCGUAGUCCGGAUCGCAGUCUGCAACUCGACUGCGUGAAGUCGGAAUCGCUAGUAAUCGUGAAUCAGAAUGUCACGGUGAAUACGUUCCCGGGCCUUGUACACACCGCCCGU
This 439-nucleotide ribosomal RNA is filed under the name uncultured Pseudomonas sp. RNAcentral's name for it is "bacterial SSU rRNA". It matches the Rfam family "Bacterial small subunit ribosomal RNA", at positions 958 to 1397 of the family's 1533-position model. Lineage: Bacteria; Pseudomonadati; Pseudomonadota; Gammaproteobacteria; Pseudomonadales; Pseudomonadaceae. The record is from RNAcentral.